AGGGCAACCCUCCACACUGGAACUGAGACAAGGACCAGACUUCUACGGAAGGCAGCAGUGAGGAAUAUUGGUCAAUGGAGGAAACUCUGAACCAGCUAUGCCGCGUGUAGGAUGACAGUCUUUUAGAUUGUAAACUACUUUUACAUAGAAAUAAAAGUUACUACGGGAUGGUAACCUGAAGGUACUAUGCGAAUAAGUGUCGGCUAAUUUCGUGCCAGCAGCCGCGGUAAAACGAAAGACACAAGCGUUAUCCGGAUUUAUUGGGUUUAAAGGGUGUGUAGGUUGUUUAUUAAGUCNGUAGUGAAAGCUUACAGCUUAACUGUAAAAUUGCUAUUGAUACUGAUAAACUUGAGUCAGAUUGGAGCGUCUGGAAUGUAUGGUGUAGCGGUGAAAUGCAUAGAUAUCAUACAGAACACCAAUAGCGAAGGCAGGAUGCUAAAUCUUCACUGACACUGAGGCACGAAAGCGUGGGUAGCAAACAGGAUUAGAUACCCUGGUAGUCCACGCCCUAAACUAUGAUCACUAGCUAUUGGAAAAAUUAUAUUCAGUGGCCAAGCUAAAGCGAUAAGUGAUCCACCUGGGAAGUACGAUCGCAAGAUUGAAACUCAAAGGAAUUGACGGGGUUUCGCACAAGCGGUGGAGCAUGUGGUUUAAUUCGAUGAUACGCGAGGAACCUUACCAAGGUUUAAAUGUAUUACGAAUAAGCUGGAAACAACUUAGUCUAUAAGACGUAAUACAAGGUGCUGCAUGGUUGUCUUCAGUUCGUGCUGUGAAGUGUUUGGUUAAGUCCUAUAACGAGCGCAACCCUUAUUGUUAGUUGCCAUCGGGUAAAGCCGGGGACUCUAACAAAACGGCCGGUGUAAAUCGAGAGGAAGGUGGGGAUAAUGUCAAAUCAUCAUGGCCUUUAUGCCUUGGGCUACACACGUGCUACAAUG
RNAcentral lists this ribosomal RNA (935 nucleotides) under Candidatus Uzinura diaspidicola. RNAcentral describes it as "bacterial SSU rRNA". It matches the Rfam family "Bacterial small subunit ribosomal RNA", at positions 297 to 1232 of the family's 1533-position model. Lineage: Bacteria; Pseudomonadati; Bacteroidota; Flavobacteriia; Flavobacteriales. The record is from RNAcentral.